AGUCUGACAGCAGGCUGAACCUGUGCCUGAAGGUAAACCACAGGCCCUCACUGGGCUUCCAUCCCACGACCUCACACCAGAGUGUGGUCUUCAAAGGAGACCCGCAUUCCAUGUGUGCUCCCAAGAGUCCGCAAGCCUGGAAGCUGUGUUCUGCCUGGGCGUGUGGGUGAGCAGCUCUAUGCAAGGGGCCUUUCCCUCACUGUCUUCAUCUUCUACAGAGAUGCGAGUAUCUCCUCCUGAAGGUAUACCAGUGCUCAGAAAGUACCGCUUUUGCCUCGAAACCGCAUUAUGGCACCCAGCCAUGCCAGGGCACACAGGGGCCCGUGUUAGACGAGAUCAAGAAGAAGCUGCGCAGUCAGGUGUACUCGCACGUGGGGGGCUUCGUGCAGGACAUGCGCCUCAUCUUUCAGAACCUCAAGGCAUUUUGCAGCGAUGGAGUGUUCCUGAGUGAACUCGAGGCCAAGUUUGAGAAGAACUUCCAAUGUAUUUUUGCAGUUCAGGAAACCGGGCAGAGCAUGUCUUAGUUGGAGCCCACCGCUUGUCAACAUUUCUUAGCCAUCCCUGACCACCUAUUUGUCUAAACUAAAUUUAGACUUGUCCAAGUGUUCGGAUUGAACCACUUGGAGAGAAAGUUGCUGUGGAAGAAGGGCACCUUUCUCCACAGAGCGUUGGCCUGCUCAUGGCCUCCAUGCAUUCAGAUCCUUCAUCAGAUCCUUCAGCAACGUCGUCUCUUCCCACACAGGACUGACAUUCUUCUUCACCCCGAAGUAUUUUAUGUUUUGGUUGUUACUGUCAACGGUACCUCUCUCCCUGUGCUUUGUUACUGCCGACUGUUACAGAAAGCUCCUGAGAUCUGUGCAUUCACUCACACACAUGCAGGUGUAAGUGCAGAGAUCACUCCCUUACUGAAUGCUGGGCAGUACUGGCGAUUGUUUUCUGUUUUGUUUUGUUUUGUGCCUGGUACCCAAAAGCAUCAGGAAGACUUGGUGGAUACAUGACAUUUCCGUGGAACCGCGAUUGACUCCACUGAUGGAAGCAUUCACUACCUGGGCUCUGAAAGCUCUGACGAGCCUUGGCUCUGCUGGAGGGUGGCUCUGCCUAGAUGGUUAGGGUCAGCCACUCCAGGUGGCUUCCUGAUGCCACCAGAAAGCCCACAGGGAACAUCCGAGACCGUGGAUGCGGUGUAUUCUCUUAGAACAUACUUUUUCUUAUGAGUGAGUGUACAUUCAGUAAUGACAAUAAAAAUAAAGAACAGUGAAACAUAAA
This is a long non-coding RNA of Ochotona curzoniae (black-lipped pika), 1266 nucleotides long. RefSeq lists it as uncharacterized. The transcript has 3 exons. The record is from RefSeq and is a predicted model, not a curated record. Lineage: Eukaryota; Metazoa; Chordata; Mammalia; Lagomorpha; Ochotonidae.